RNAcentral lists this ribosomal RNA (387 nucleotides) under uncultured bacterium. RNAcentral describes it as "bacterial SSU rRNA". It matches the Rfam family "Bacterial small subunit ribosomal RNA", at positions 28 to 417 of the family's 1533-position model. The record is from RNAcentral.
GACGAACGCUGGCGGCGUGCUUAACACAUGCAAGUCGAGCGGUAAGGCCCUUUCGGGGGUACACGAGCGGCGAACGGGUGAGUAACACGUGGGUGACCUGCCCUCAGCUCUGGGAUAAGCCUGGGAAACUGGGCCUAAUACCGGAUAUGACUCCAUGACGCAUGUUGUGGGGUGGAAAGCCUUGUGCGGCUGAGGAUGGGCCCGCGGCCUAUCAGCUUGUUGGUGGGGGAUGGCCUACCAAGGCGACGACGGGUAGCCGGCCUGAGAGGGCGACCGGCCACACUGGGACUGAGACACGGCCCAGACUCCUACGGGAGGCAGCAGUGGGGAAUCUUGCGCAAUGGGCGAAAGCCUGACGCAGCGACGCCGCGUGAGGGAUGACGGCCU